This is a non-coding RNA of Pimephales promelas (fathead minnow), 1067 nucleotides long. NCBI's taxonomy places the organism in Eukaryota, Metazoa, Chordata, Actinopteri, Cypriniformes, Leuciscidae. The record is from RefSeq and is a predicted model, not a curated record.
CACCAAUGCGAUCCUUCACUUAAAGAUAGAAAAGAAAAAUAGAAAACACACCAGCUCAAACUGAAAGCCGGAUGUAAUUUCCGCAGCCUAAUGAAGGAAUGCGAGGAUUGGGUUCGCACGUUCUUAUCCGUGUGGAAAGUCCCUGAAGUUCCCCGUCGAAACAAUCGCUCUCCAUCUCCGCUCGGGAAAUGAGCUUUAAAUCGUGAGGAAAAGGAAGGCCGGUUUUGACAGCCGACGUGCAAAUAUGAGGCGAUGGAAUCUCAAUGAGGCUCGAAAAAGGGAAAUGCAUAAAUAGAUUAGAGUGAAUGUGCCCAAGCAAAUCUAAUUAUGAAGCCGCCGGAUCUCCUGAUUUAGGAGAGAGAGAGAGUGUGUGUGUGUGUGUGUGUGUCCACACUCUUUGGCAUGUAUUUGAUGAGAUUUGUGACGUAGACAAAGAACUAGAGUCUCAGAUUUCCAUGUAAAUUGGAUGAGCUUCUGCUGCAGGUUUGCAUGAGGAAUCGUUAACAGUCUGAGAUGAACAAUUCAGCUUUCAUCAAACUCAGGGACUCCAGACUUCACCAUCACUCAUCCAUUACUGACGGAGACAGAAAAUCAUGUACGUUUUGGAGGACAAGAACCAUCACAAACACACAUUAGCUUUGGCUUUUCAAGGAUGUGAUGUAUAAUUCAUUUUGGAGAGAGGAAAGGGAAGGUGUGGAUAAAACAUUUAUUUCUCUUCCGCUCCCAUAAACAGGCCUUUUAGCGUUUCAGCGAGUGUGAGGAGGAUCCAGACGAGAUUUAAAUCAGCAAAGUCUGGAUUCAUUCUUCACGUUCAACCCUCAAAUCAGAAGAAGAAAAUGACAUUUAAUUAUGUAAAAAUAAAAUUGAUUAUGCAAAUGACAAACAUUUUUCUCUCCACAUCACAACAUUUUAACCUUUGAUUGAGUCGUAAAAUGGUUUCAUUCACUGACCUUGUUUUGUAAUUUGUUGAUUUACUCAAAGCUUGUUGCACUAUUAAUAAAACUGCUGUAAUAGCACAUCACAAAGCAAGCUGUUAAAAGUCACAACUAGGGCUGCAUGGGCAACGA